UACGAAGGGGGCUAGCGUUGUUCGGAAUCACUGGGCGUAAAGCGCACGUAGGCGGAUUGUUAAGUCGGGGGUGAAAUCCUGAGGCUCAACCUCAGAACUGCCUUCGAUACUGGCAAUCUCGAGUCCGGAAGAGGUUGGUGGAACAGCUAGUGUAGAGGUGAAAUUCGUAGAUAUUAGCUAGAACACCAGUGGCGAAGGCGGCCAACUGGUCCGGUACUGACGCUGAGACGCGAAAGCGUGGGGAGCGAACAGG
This 253-nucleotide ribosomal RNA is filed under the name uncultured bacterium. RNAcentral describes it as "partial 16S ribosomal RNA". It matches the Rfam family "Bacterial small subunit ribosomal RNA", at positions 524 to 776 of the family's 1533-position model. The record is from RNAcentral.